This 253-nucleotide ribosomal RNA is filed under the name uncultured bacterium. Its description in RNAcentral is "partial 16S ribosomal RNA". It matches the Rfam family "Bacterial small subunit ribosomal RNA", at positions 524 to 776 of the family's 1533-position model. The record is from RNAcentral.
UACGUAGGGUGCGAGCGUUGUCCGGAAUUAUUGGGCGUAAAGGGCUCGUAGGCGGUCUGUCACGUCGGGAGUGAAAACUCAGGGCUUAACCCUGAGCCUGCUUCCGAUACGGGCAGACUAGAGGUAUGCAGGGGAGAACGGAAUUCCUGGUGUAGCGGUGAAAUGCGCAGAUAUCAGGAGGAACACCGAUGGCGAAGGCAGGUCUCUGGGCCACUACUGACGCUGAGAAGCGAAAGCGUGGGGAGCGAACAGG